UCUGAGCCAGAACCGCGAACCGUUCAACAUGCUCUAAAGGAUAAGCGGUGGAGGGGCGUAAUGGGCUCCGAAUUAAAUGCUCAAAGUGGUUACCACACAUGGGAUUUGGUUUCUCAACCACCUGCAGGUACCACAGUCAUUUGUUGUCGUUGUAUAUUUACAAAGAAAUUCAAUUUUGUCAGAGCAUCAAUCGGUUCAAAGCACGACUUGUUGAGAAGGGGUACAAAAAGUCCGGACACCUUAACGGAGGAAAUACAGCCACCCGGUUUUGUUGACCAGGAUAAACCUAACCAUGUGUGUCAUCUUCAUCGUGCUCUCUAUGGUGUCAAGUAGGCUCCAAGGGCUUGGUAUAGUGAGCUGCGAAAUUACUUGCAACACUCUUGAUGCUUUGGCUCAACGGUUCUCUUUUAAAGAUCCUGAGGAUCUCUAUUAUUUCCUCGGCAUUGAAGCUCGGCGUGUCCCUUCUGGCCUUAACCUGAGUCAACGCAAAUAUAUUAUUGAUCUUCUCACUCGAACGAAUAUGCUUGCGUCGAAACCUGUCUCCACACCAAUCGUAUCCUCUCCGACUCUCACUUGGUAUUUUGGCACCCGAUAGUCAGAUCCGACGGAGUAUAGAGGUAUUGUGGGUAGCUUGCAAUAUUUAGCCUUCACGCGACCAGACCUGUCCUAUGCGUUGAACCGACUGUCCUAAUAUAUGCAUGCUCCAACGACAGAUCAUUGGCAAGCUGUGAAAUGUUUGCUUCGGUACUUAGCAGGCACAAUUCAUCAUGGCAUCUUUUUGUGCAAAGGUAACAAGGUUUCUUUAAAGUCUUUCUCUGAUGCAGACUAGGCUGGUGACAAAGAUGAUUAUACCUCUACCAAUGGUUAUCUUGUGUAUCUUGGACAUCAUCCCGUCUUGUGGUCUUCCAAGAAGCAGAAGGGGGUUGCUCGUUCCUCGACAGAAGCAGAGUAUAGGGCGGUUGCUAACACUUCAGCUGAAAUUAAUGGAUUUGUUCUCUUCUUCAGGAAUUGGGCAUCUGUUUACCAAUUGUACCAGUCAUUUAUUGUGAUAAUGUAGGUGCAACCUACUUGUGUGCCAAUCCUUUUUUUCACUCACGGAUGAAGCACAUUGGUUUAGAUUAUCAUUUCAUACGAGAUCAAGUUCAGUCCGGAGCAUUCUGUGUC
Molecule: non-coding RNA, 1164 nt
Organism: Camelina sativa (false flax)
Lineage: Eukaryota; Viridiplantae; Streptophyta; Magnoliopsida; Brassicales; Brassicaceae
Source: RefSeq, a predicted model, not a curated record